AUGGAGGGAGUACCAAUCUUCAAGAACAAGGGAGAUGUUCAGAGUUGUACUAAUUACCGUGGAAUUAAGCUGAUGAGCCAUACAAUGAAGCUAUGGGAGAGAGUCAUUGAGCACCGCUUAAGAAGAAUGACAAGCGUGACCAAAAAUCAGUUUGGUUUCAUGCCUGGGAGGUCGACCAUGGAAGCCAUUUUCUUGGUACGACAACUUAUGGAGAGAUACAGGGAGCAAAAGAAGGACUUGCAUAUGAUGUUCAUUGUCUUGGAGAAGGCCUAUGAUAAGAUACCGUGGAAUGUCAUGUGGUGGGCCUUGGAGAAACACAAAGUCCCAGCAAAGUACAUUGCCCUCAUCAAGGACAUGUACGACUAUGUUGUGACAAGUGUUCGAACAAGUGAUGUCGACACUGAUGACUUCCCGAUUAAGAUAGGACUGCAUCAGGUGUCAGCUUUGAGCCCUUAUCUUUUUGCCUUGGUGAUGGAUGAGGUCACAAGGGAUAUACAAGGAGAUAUCCCAUGGUGUAUGCUGUUUGCGGACGAUGUGGUGCUAGUUGACGAUAGUCGGACGGGGGUAAAUAGGAAGUUAAGUUGUGGAGACAAACCUUGGAAUCGAAAGGGUUUAGGCUUAGUAGAACUAAAACCGAGUACAUGA
This 645-nucleotide ribosomal RNA is filed under the name Triticum aestivum (bread wheat). RNAcentral's name for it is "partial small subunit ribosomal RNA". Lineage: Eukaryota; Viridiplantae; Streptophyta; Magnoliopsida; Poales; Poaceae. The record is from RNAcentral.